RNAcentral lists this ribosomal RNA (467 nucleotides) under uncultured bacterium. Its description in RNAcentral is "bacterial SSU rRNA". It matches the Rfam family "Bacterial small subunit ribosomal RNA", at positions 355 to 825 of the family's 1533-position model. The record is from RNAcentral.
UAAGGAAUAUUGGUCAAUGCCCGGAAGGGUGAACCAGCCAUCCCGCGUGAAGGAUGAAGGGGCUCUGCCUUGUAAACUUCUUUUGAAUGGGACGAAAAAGCCUCACUUGUGAGGAACUGACGGUACCAUUAGAAUAAGCACCGGCUAACUCCGUGCCAGCAGCCGCGGUAAUACGGAGGGUGCGAGCGUUAUCCGGAAUCACUGGGUUUAAAGGGUGCGUAGGCGGCUGUAUAAGUCAGUGGUGAAAGGCUGUGGCUUAACCAUGGGAUUGCCAUUGAUACUGUACGGCUUGAAUUAGGAUGAGGUUGGCGGAAUGUGACAUGUAGCGGUGAAAUGCUUAGAUAUGUCAUGGAACAUCGAUUGCGAAGGCAGCUGACUGGACCUUAAUUGACGCUGAGGCACGAAAGCGUGGGGAGCGAACAGGAUUAGAUACCCAUGUAGUCCCUGAGCGGGCUGGCAAGGCGCAU